Molecule: long non-coding RNA, 735 nt
Filed under: Rattus norvegicus (Norway rat)
Lineage: Eukaryota; Metazoa; Chordata; Mammalia; Rodentia; Muridae
Description: long non-coding RNA NONRATT017435
Source: RNAcentral
UGGACCACUGGAGGCUGGGCAGGCGUGCCAUUGGACUUGAAUAACAUUGUCAAGGUGUGUGGCUGCCCUCCAAUCUUAGCCCCUCCAGCUUGUCACAGUCUCUACUUUGGGAGCAGUCUUCAUUGCGCUCAUCCUUCAGAGUCUUCAGGAACUCGCUCUUCCUGUCUGUGGUUCGUCGGGUCAAUUUGGUCAGGCGAGAGGAGCUGAUCUCUAUCGGAGGGGUAGUACUGGAGGGACUCUCUUUGGGAGCGUUGAGAACUACACCAGCAGCUAGUACCACUGGUUUAGUAACAGAAACUGGAUUGGUCAAAGCAGCCUCCCGGCUGGAGGAAAGUGAUCCAGAAAAGAUGAAAAGGAAUAUGCACUUAAGCAAAUCGAAGGCACAGGAAUAUCUAUGUCGGCUUGUAGAGAGAUUGCAUGGUUAAGAAAACGAGGAAGAGGAGAGGAACCUGCAGUGUUCUUUCGGUCUCGAAGAAACCACGGAAUUGUUGACAGCUGUAAAUGAACGAGAGAUCUGCCUGGUUUUGCCGCUAGAGUGUUGGAAUUAAAAGUGCAUACCACUACACCUAGAUUUACAAUUACAUUUAAAAAAUUAAAACUUUUCAUUGAGUCUUUAUGAAUUUCCCAUCAUGCACCCCAAUCCCGCUCAUCUCCCCGUCCCUCCAUAUCUGCCCUUUGCCCUUGUAAUCCCCCUCCCCAAAGAAAACAAAGCAAAAAUAAAUACAGAUUAAAACC